GUGCUCCUUCGGCAGCGCGUAUACCCAAAUUGGAACGAUACCGAGGAGAUUAGCACGGCCGCUGCGCAAGAAUGGCACGCAAAUGCGUGAAGCAGUCCGUACUUUA
Molecule: small nuclear RNA, 106 nt
Organism: Octodon degus (degu)
Lineage: Eukaryota; Metazoa; Chordata; Mammalia; Rodentia; Octodontidae
Source: Ensembl